GAUGAACGCUGGCGGCGUGCCUAAUACAUGCAAGUCGAGCGAACAGACGAGGAGCUUGCUCCUUCGACGUUAGCGGCGGACGGGUGAGUAACACGUAGGUAACCUACCUAUAAGACUGGGAUAACUUCGGGAAACCGGAGCUAAUACCGGAUAAUAUUUCGAACCGCAUGGUUCGAUAGUGAAAGAUGGCUUUGCUAUCACCUAUAGAUGGACCUGCGCCGUAUUAGCUAGUUGGUAAGGUAACGGCUUACCAAGGCAACGAUACGUAGCCGACCUGAGAGGGUGAUCGGCCACACUGGAACUGAGACACGGUCCAGACUCCUACGGGAGGCAGCAGUAGGGAAUCUUCCGCAAUGGGCGAAAGCCUGACGGAGCAACGCCGCGUGAGUGAUGAAGGUCUUCGGAUCGUAAAACUCUGUUAUUAGGGAAGAACAAACGCGUAAGUAACUGUGCACGUCUUGACGGUACCUAAUCAGAAAGCCACGGCUAACUACGUG
Molecule: ribosomal RNA, 497 nt
Filed under: uncultured bacterium
Lineage: Bacteria
Description: partial 16S ribosomal RNA
Rfam family: Bacterial small subunit ribosomal RNA
Source: RNAcentral